RNAcentral lists this transfer RNA (72 nucleotides) under Candidatus Levybacteria bacterium RBG_13_35_9. RNAcentral describes it as "tRNA-Thr". It matches the Rfam family "tRNA". From Rfam's summary of the family: Transfer RNA (tRNA) molecules are approximately 80 nucleotides in length. Lineage: Bacteria; Candidatus Levyibacteriota. The record is from RNAcentral. RNAcentral also lists the same sequence under 3 other names.
GCCGUCUUAGCUCAGUGGUAGAGCAGCUGUUUUGUAAACAGCAGGUCGUCGGUCCGAAUCCGACAGACGGCU